ACAGCAGUAGCCGCGGGAAUACGUAGGGUGCAAGCGUUAAUCGGAAUUACUGGGCGUAAAGCGUGCGUAGGUAGUGGUUUAAGUCCGUUGUGAAAGCCCUGGGCUCAACCUGGGAAUUGCAGUGGAUACUGGAUCACUAGAGUGUGGUAGAGGAUAGUGGAAUUUCCGGUGUAGCAGUGAAAUGCGUAGAGAUCGGAAGGAACAUCUGUGGCGAAGGCGACUAUCUGGGCCAACACUGACACUGAGAGACGAAAGCUAGGGGAGCAAAUGGGAUUAGAUACCCCUGUAGUCCCUGUCUCUUAUAC
This 305-nucleotide ribosomal RNA is filed under the name uncultured bacterium. Its description in RNAcentral is "partial 16S ribosomal RNA". It matches the Rfam family "Bacterial small subunit ribosomal RNA", at positions 506 to 807 of the family's 1533-position model. The record is from RNAcentral.